This is a transfer RNA of Toxocara canis (dog roundworm), 71 nucleotides long. It matches the Rfam family "tRNA". From Rfam's summary of the family: Transfer RNA (tRNA) molecules are approximately 80 nucleotides in length. The record is from Rfam. NCBI's taxonomy places the organism in Eukaryota, Metazoa, Nematoda, Chromadorea, Rhabditida, Toxocaridae.
GCGGCAGUAGCUCAGUAGUAGAGCCCCGCUUCGCAUGAGGGGAGACCUGGGUUCGAUUCCCGGCUGCUCCC